UAGGGAAUCUUCGGCAAUGGACGAAAGUCUGACCGAGCAACGCCGCGUGAGUGAAGAAGGUUUUAGGAUCGUAAAACUCUGUUGUUAGAGAAGAACAAGGACGUUAGUAACUGAACGUCCCCUGACGGUAUCUAACCAGAAAGCCACGGCUAACUACGUGCCAGUAGCCGCGGUAAUACGUAGGUGGCAAGCGUUGUCCGGAUUUAUUGGGCGUAAAGCGAGCGCAGGCGGUUUCUUAAGUCUGAUGUGAAAGCCCCCGGCUCAACCGGGGGGGGUCAUUGGAAACUGGGAGACUUGAGUGCAGAAGAGGAGAGUGGAAUUCCAUGUGGAGCGGUGAAAUGCGUAGAUAUAUGGAGGAACACCGGUGGCGAAGGCGGCUCUCUGGUCUGUAACUAACGCUGAGGCUCAAAAGCGUGGGGAGCAAACAGG
RNAcentral lists this ribosomal RNA (429 nucleotides) under Gemmatimonadota bacterium. RNAcentral's name for it is "Gemmatimonadetes bacterium partial 16S ribosomal RNA". It matches the Rfam family "Bacterial small subunit ribosomal RNA", at positions 355 to 776 of the family's 1533-position model. The record is from RNAcentral. Lineage: Bacteria; Pseudomonadati; Gemmatimonadota.